CUAUGAAAUGCAGCUUAUGUGGUGUGAUAGGCCACAACAAAAGGGGUUGCAAGAAUGCCCCUAAGCAACAACAACACAGCAACAAUCAUGCUACUGCAGAGCAGACCACACCACAGCAACAACACCCAAGAACCAGUUCAGCUAUACCAAUGCACAAUAGGGGUGUGGGUAUUUAUACCUACCCAAAUGGGUAUCAAAGAAUAGCUACUCCUAUAUCACAACACUUCCCCACACCACAGAGGCAAAGACCUCCUGCAGCUUUCUAUUCUGAUCAUGGGGGUGAGCAAACCAUCUACUCCUUCCCUGCACAUGACUUCCCAUUGUCACAGACUCAACCAAGCCAAGGACACACAAUAUCAAGCCAAGCAUUGCAGGAUCUUGCAAUGGCUAGAAGAUUAGAAAAAAGACCAUGAGAAAAAUACCUUUUUGUUGAGAAGAGUCAGCUAUGGUGGAGCAACAGAGAAAAAACACAGAGCAGAAAAUGGAGAAGAA
Molecule: RNA transcript, 492 nt
Organism: Spinacia oleracea (spinach)
Lineage: Eukaryota; Viridiplantae; Streptophyta; Magnoliopsida; Caryophyllales; Amaranthaceae
Exons: 3
Source: RefSeq, a predicted model, not a curated record